Molecule: long non-coding RNA, 978 nt
Filed under: Brachypodium distachyon (stiff brome)
Lineage: Eukaryota; Viridiplantae; Streptophyta; Magnoliopsida; Poales; Poaceae
Description: long non-coding RNA (BDIS_LNC004682)
Source: RNAcentral
GCUACUUUCGUGUAAUCGCGUGUGUCGGUUAGACCACCUGUUUUACCGUCAUCAAGACUCCAACUAUAUUGAGUAUUCAGAUUCGUGAACCUUCAUAUCUCCUAUUCGCAAUUUCAGAUUGAUUUUCAUCUUAUUCUUGCUUGUUCUUCGAUUGCUUGCAGGAACAAAGACCUUCGUGGUCAGGUUGAUCGUGCCCCCGCGGGAUCAAUAACCUUCUGGAGUUGGUGUAUCGAUCGCUAAGGCGUUGCCUCCUAGGUUGUAGUCGGAUCGUCAACGUCACCUCCUACCAAAUCGAUAAUUAGGUAUCUCAUCGAAAGAUCGGGACACCCUCGAGGCUAUCACGUGGUAUCAGAGCUUAAGGUUGCUCGGUGAGAUUUUUCCAGUUUAUCCGUAGUUUAGAUCUGUUUUUACCUAUCGUCCAGAAAAAGCCAAACAAAAAUUAGAAUUAGUUACCUUGUCCUAGAACCAAUCUGAGCCUUGCAAUUUUCACAUUAGUAUCUGCAUUGUUGAAUCUUUGCUGCAUUAAUCGUGUCGAGUUGCUGGAUUAGAUUGGAUCGUUUUUCAGAUUUUUUCUACUAGAUCGAACUUGCUUUUGGUUUUCUUGUUCUUCGUGUGACGCAGAUUUCCUUCAUCAAUCUUUUGCCGCCAAACUUCCUGCCACACCACCGCCAUAAUCUUCCGCCGCCACCAUAUCUUCCACCGAGUCCCUCUUCGAGUCCUACACCGAGUCCCUCUUCAAGUCCUACACCGAUUCCUUCUUCCAGUCCUACACCGAGUCCCUCUUCGAGUCCUACAUCGAGUCGGGAAGUUAUAGUGUUCAGCUGCGAGUUCGAGUCCGAGUCCAAUAAGGAGCGCUUUUGGAAAGUGUUUCAUAAUAGAUCGAAUUUUGUUUAGAGAUCAAGUUGUUCGGAAAGUUGUGAAAAAAAAAGAAGGAAAAGAAAAAAAAAAAACGAAAAAAAAAGAGAAAGAGUUCGAGUC